This 293-nucleotide ribosomal RNA is filed under the name uncultured bacterium. RNAcentral's name for it is "partial 16S ribosomal RNA". It matches the Rfam family "Archaeal small subunit ribosomal RNA", at positions 455 to 747 of the family's 1478-position model. The record is from RNAcentral.
GUGCCAGCAGCCGCGGUACUACCGGCAGCCCGAGUGAUGGCCGAUCUUAUUGGGCCUAAAGCGUCCGUAGCUGGCUGCGCAAGUCCGUCGGGAAAUCCACUCGCCCAACGAGUGGGCGUCCGACGGAAACUGCACAGCUUGGGACCGGAAGGCUCAGAGGGUACGUCCGGGGUAGGAGUGAAAUCCCGUAAUCCUGGACGGACCACCGGUGGCGAAAGCGCCUCGAGAGGACGGACCCGACAGUGAGGGACGAAAGCCAGGGUCUCGAACCGGAUUAGAUACCCGUGUAGUCC